This 448-nucleotide ribosomal RNA is filed under the name uncultured Chromatiales bacterium. Its description in RNAcentral is "bacterial SSU rRNA". It matches the Rfam family "Bacterial small subunit ribosomal RNA", at positions 1082 to 1533 of the family's 1533-position model. The record is from RNAcentral. Lineage: Bacteria; Pseudomonadati; Pseudomonadota; Gammaproteobacteria; Chromatiales.
UAGUCCGUACGAGCGCACCCUUGUCCCUAGUUGCCAGCACUUCGGGUGGGAACUCUAGGGAGACUGCCGGUGAUAAACCGGAGGAAGGUGGGGAUGAGGUCAAGUCAUCAUGGCCCUUAUGGGCAGGGCUACACACGUGCUACAAUGGCCGGUACAGAGGGCAGCGAAGCCGCGAGGUGGAGCGAAUCUCAGAAAACCGGUCGUAGUCCGGAUUGCAGUCUGCAACUCGACUGCAUGAAGCCGGAAUCGCUAGUAAUCGCGGAUCAGAACGCCGCGGUGAAUACGUUCCCGGGCCUUGUACACACCGCCCGUCACACCAUGGGAGUGGGCUGUACCAGAAGUAGGUAGUCUAACCUUCGGGAGGACGCUUACCACGGUGUGGUUCAUGACUGGGGUGAAGUCGUAACAAGGUAGCCCUAGGGGAACCUGGGGCUGGAUCACCUCCUUU